UACGGAGGGUGCAAGCGUUGUCCGGAAUCAUUGGGCGUAAAGAGUUCGUAGGUGGUUUAAUAAGUCAGAUGUUAAAGGCGCAGGCUCAACUUGUGUAUGGCAUUUGAUACUGUUAGACUUGAAUGCGGUAGAGGUAAAGGGAAUUCCCGGUGUAGCGGUGAAAUGCGUAGAUAUCGGGAGGAACAUCGGAGGCGUAAGCGCUUUACUGGGCCGUAAUUGACACUGAGGAACGAAAGCCGGGGUAGCAAAU
RNAcentral lists this ribosomal RNA (250 nucleotides) under uncultured prokaryote. RNAcentral's name for it is "partial 16S ribosomal RNA". It matches the Rfam family "Bacterial small subunit ribosomal RNA", at positions 524 to 773 of the family's 1533-position model. The record is from RNAcentral.